Molecule: long non-coding RNA, 2246 nt
Organism: Capsicum annuum
Lineage: Eukaryota; Viridiplantae; Streptophyta; Magnoliopsida; Solanales; Solanaceae
Exons: 3
Source: RefSeq, a predicted model, not a curated record
GUAAAAAAAUCUAAUAAAAUAGAAAGUGUAGGGUUAGGUUCCCCAUUUCAUUCACUUUUUUCUUCUUUGUUCACGGUUACCCCAUUUCAAUCAAGUGUACGAUUGUUCUGGAAACAACUUAGCUGGAUCGAUUCCCACAUCAAUUGGCAACUUAAGGACUUGGAUCGAUUGUUCCCAAGUGUAGGGUUUGUUCUUGAGUAAUCUAUCGGUGAUAAUCCAUGUAAAUUGCAACGCUUGGAUGUCAUCGACUUGACUCAACAGGAUAAAAUUAGAAGCAGAAUAAGAGCAUUGUUCAGGAUCGCGGUUUUCUUGGGAUUUUUCUAGGAUUAAGAGUUGUGCCGCCCAAGCUUAAAGGCAAAUUCUACAGGGUGGUAGUCCGUCCGGCCUUGUUGUAUGGAGCGGAGUGUUGGCCAGUUAAGAACUCCCACAUCCAAAAAAUGAAGGUGGCAGAAAUGCGGAUGUUGCGCUGGAUGUGUGGACUGUCUAGAGGGGAUAGAGUUCGGAAUGAGACUAUUCGGGAGAAGGUUGGUGUGACUUUAGUGGAGUGCAAGAUGCAGGAAGCACGAUUGAGAUGGUUCGGACACGUGAAGAGGAGGGGCAUGGAUGCCCCGGUCCGUAGGUGUGAGAGGCUAGCGUUGGAUGGUUUUAGGCGGGGUAGGGGUAGGCCGAAGAAGUACUGGGGUGAGGUGAUUAGGCGGGACAUGGAACAGUUACAGCUCACCGAGGACAUGACUCUAGAUAGGAAGGUCUGGAGGGCGCGAAUUUCGGCAGAGGAUUAGGGCCAGUUUGGGUCGCUAGUGUAGGGAAUUACUUGGUGGGGGUUUUAUUCAUGUUAUGAUUCCGUGUUCCGUGUUCCAUGUUUUACUACGAAUCUGUGGGCUUUCCUCUGCUUUGCUCUGCUUUCCUCUGUUUUAUAUUACUUAUGGGUGCCGUAUUUAUGUUAUCUGCUUCUGUGCUUUACUAUGUGUUUGUGUGGUAUCUCGUGCCUUGAGCCGGGGGUCUAUCAGAAACAGCCUUUCUACUUCAUCAGAGGUAGAGGUAUGGACUUACCCCCCAGACCCCACUAGGUGGGAAUACACUGGGUUUGUUGUUGUCUUUCUUCUUUUGGGAUUAAUUGUGUUGUACGUCUUUUUAUUUCUUCUUCAAUUUCAGUAUUCUGCAUUGUCUCUGAGCAAUCUAUAACUUCAAAUUGCCCUAGAAAAAGUCCAGGUUCUAAUCUCUCUCCUUCUCCAUCUCAAUCUCUCUGGUUAAUAGUCAAUGACUUAUUAGCAGCCAGCAGCAAAGAUUAUGUUGGAUUAUGUGAAGUUUCUUCCUCCUCUCCUCUCUCUAUCCAUAUUAUACAUAUAUGUAGAUUAGACUAUUUGUUUACUAAAUCGAUGCUCUUUCUCUUUUCUUUCCAUCUUAAAUUAAAGUAAGAGCUUCAUUCACAAGUUGGUAAAUAUUUGUAUGACCUCCUAGGCAUGCUAUUGCGGUUGAGAUGUUUGCUUCCAGGACAUGGAACGACUCUACUAGUAUGUUGCUAUUUUGUGGAUAUUUGUCCAAAUAUCUGACAUUCUAUUAGUUGUCCAUCUUUUAUCUAAUUAAUAUUUUAAAAGUAUCAUCAGUAUGUAAUUUUUUAAGGUAAACUGUCAAUUUGACUUACUAUUUGCAUGGACAUGGCCCAUGGGUCAGGCUUGAUCAAUGCUUGAAGGUUUUCUGUGUUUGGAGAUAAUUAAUUUUCAAAAGACUUGAUGCAUUAUUUAGAUGGGCCAUUAUGGUGGUGGGGGGACUUAUAAGCUGAGCUUCCACGCAUUCGUUGCAAGAGAAUUUAUAUAUGUAUUGGGACUAUUAACUGAGUUUUGUAUACUUGUUUUCUGUUGUUAAGAUUUGAUUCAUGAGUAUGUGCAUGAAGGUUGGAACUUCUUAUGCCAGAUUUUACUUGUUGCUGAGAUGUAACACAAUGUCUCCACAUUCCAUGCCCUUUUGAACGGUGAUCAUGACAUAGAAGAUGGCGGGAAUGAAAUUGAUGAACUAGACCUGACCUAAGAGAUUGAUCACAUUGACUUUAUGUCACACUAGUUGUUGGAAAAACUUGUGUAUGUUUUGAUUGAGAUCGAUCACAUUUGACCGAGUAGUUUCAAACAUCUUUUAUUUUUGAACAUUCAAAACUACUUAUGUAUGUUUUGAUUUUUUUGAAUGGUCAAAAAAUAUUUGGUUUCUUAUUGGUUGACAUUUUGGGAAUUAAUAGUUACUAGUACUCUUGAUGA